CUCCGGGCUCCGUGCAGUGGGCGGCUGCAAACCCCGCCAGGUCCGGAAGGAAGCAACGGUAGUGGUUUAGCUUGCGUGCCGCGGAUCACCCGGGGUCU
RNAcentral lists this signal recognition particle RNA (98 nucleotides) under Bryobacterales bacterium. RNAcentral's name for it is "signal recognition particle sRNA small type". It matches the Rfam family "Bacterial small signal recognition particle RNA". Rfam says of the family: The signal recognition particle (SRP) is a universally conserved ribonucleoprotein involved in the co-translational targeting of proteins to membranes. Lineage: Bacteria; Pseudomonadati; Acidobacteriota; Terriglobia; Bryobacterales. The record is from RNAcentral.